RNAcentral lists this ribosomal RNA (299 nucleotides) under uncultured Allobrachymonas sp. RNAcentral describes it as "uncultured Brachymonas sp. partial 16S ribosomal RNA". It matches the Rfam family "Bacterial small subunit ribosomal RNA", at positions 1077 to 1382 of the family's 1533-position model. Lineage: Bacteria; Pseudomonadati; Pseudomonadota; Betaproteobacteria; Burkholderiales; Comamonadaceae. The record is from RNAcentral.
GGGUUAAGUCCCGCAACGAGCGCAACCCUUGUCAUUAGUUGCUACGAAAGGGCACUCUAAUGGGACUGCCGGUGACAAACCGGAGGAAGGUGGGGAUGACGUCAAGUCCUCAUGGCCCUUAUAGGUGGGGCUACACACGUCAUACAAUGGCCGGUACAAAGGGUAGCCAACCCGCGAGGGGGAGCCAAUCCCAUAAAGCCGGUCGUAGUCCGGAUCGCAGUCUGCAACUCGACUGCGUGAAGUCGGAAUCGCUAGUAAUCGUGGAUCAGCAUGUCACGGUGAAUACGUUCCCGGGUCUU